GGAAGAAAAAGUCGUAACAAGGGCUCCGUUGGUGAACCAGCGGAGGGAUCAUUACCGAGUGCAAACUCAUAACCCUUUGUGAACCCAUAUCUGUUGCUUCGGCGGCUCGCUCUCGGGCGAGCCCGCCGGUAAUAUCAGUAUCUCUGUUUGAACCCGACGAUACUUCUGAGUGUUCUUAGCGAACAGUUAAAACUUUUAACAACGGAUCUCUUGGCUCUA
Molecule: unclassified non-coding RNA, 219 nt
Filed under: plant metagenome
Description: partial contains small subunit ribosomal RNA, internal transcribed spacer 1, and 5.8S ribosomal RNA
Rfam family: Eukaryotic small subunit ribosomal RNA (bases 1-54)
Source: RNAcentral